RNAcentral lists this ribosomal RNA (253 nucleotides) under uncultured bacterium. RNAcentral's name for it is "partial 16S ribosomal RNA". It matches the Rfam family "Bacterial small subunit ribosomal RNA", at positions 524 to 776 of the family's 1533-position model. The record is from RNAcentral. RNAcentral also lists the same sequence under 1 other name.
UACGAGGGGUCCUAGCGUUGUUCGGAAUCAUUGGGCGUAAAGCGUCUGUAGGCGGCUUUGUAAGUCGGGUGUGAAAGCCCCAGGCUCAACCUGGGAAGUGCAUUCGAUACUGCAUAGCUUGAGUGUUGGAGAGGAUAGUAGAAUUCCAGGUGUAGUGGUGAAAUACGUAGAUAUCUGGAGGAAUACCGGUGGCGAAGGCGGCUAUCUGGCCAAACACUGACGCUGAGAGACGAAAGCAUGGGGAUCAAACAGG